Molecule: ribosomal RNA, 497 nt
Filed under: uncultured bacterium
Lineage: Bacteria
Description: partial 16S ribosomal RNA
Rfam family: Bacterial small subunit ribosomal RNA
Source: RNAcentral
GAUGAACGCUGGCGGCGUGCCUAAUACAUGCAAGUCGAGCGAACAGACGAGGAGCUUGCUCCUUUGACGUUAGCGGCGGACGGGUGAGUAACACGUGGGUAACCUACCUAUAAGACUGGGAUAACUUCGGGAAACCGGAGCUAAUACCGGAUAAUAUUUCGAACCGCAUGGUUCGAUAGUGAAAGAUGGCUCUGCUAUCACUUAUAGAUGGACCUGCGCCGUAUUAGCUAGUUGGUAAGGUAACGGCUUACCAAGGCAACGAUGCGUAGCCGACCUGAGAGGGUGAUCGGCCACACUGGAACUGAGACACGGUCCAGACUCCUACGGGAGGCAGCAGUAGGGAAUCUUCCGCAAUGGGCGAAAGCCUGACGGAGCAACGCCGCGUGAGUGAUGAAGGUCUUCGGAUCGUAAAACUCUGUUAUUAGGGAAGAACAAACGUGUAAGUAACUGUGCACGUCUUGACGGUACCUAAUCAGAAAGCCACGGCUAACUACGUG